This is a long non-coding RNA of Hibiscus syriacus, 504 nucleotides long. RefSeq lists it as uncharacterized. NCBI's taxonomy places the organism in Eukaryota, Viridiplantae, Streptophyta, Magnoliopsida, Malvales, Malvaceae. The transcript is spliced from 3 exons. The record is from RefSeq and is a predicted model, not a curated record.
UGCAGGAUUUUGCACUUCUCUUUUUUGUUCCACUGCUUUGGAAUUUUAUUAAGCGGUGUCAUCAUAAUCAAAAGUGGUAACCCUUGCCUGAGCGGUAUUCAUAUUAUUUGGGAGAUGCAUUUGGUUGGCUUCUGCCUCUUUCUGUUCUGUCCAGUGUACAAGUAAGAUGAUUGGUUUGAUUUCUGCAAGAAAAAAUUUAUGAGCUUCCCGUUAUUUGUUUUGCUUUGAAACUCAUGUGUUUAGUAUGCACCUUCCGAACGAGUUCCAAAGAACUGCUACAAAAACGAUGGUCAGGAAGGGACAAUAUUCAAAGAUCCUGAGUAUUUGGAGUUCCUUGAAUUUCUUGCGAAGCCAGUUGAGAAUCUUCCUAGUGCAGAGAUACAAUUAGAGAGGAGUGAAGUGGAAAGAGUUGGUGCGCCAAAGGAUGCUUCCAUAGUUACACCUUUGAUGGAUUUUGUUAGACAGAAAAGAACAGCUAAGGUUGGAUCACGAGUAAUAUAUUAU